AAGGUCCCCGCUGGUGACCUGCGGAGGGACAUUA
Molecule: ribosomal RNA, 34 nt
Filed under: Alternaria sp. 134
Lineage: Eukaryota; Fungi; Ascomycota; Dothideomycetes; Pleosporales; Pleosporaceae
Description: partial 18S ribosomal RNA
Source: RNAcentral